Molecule: non-coding RNA, 119 nt
Organism: Trichuris suis (pig whipworm)
Lineage: Eukaryota; Metazoa; Nematoda; Enoplea; Trichinellida; Trichuridae
Source: Rfam
GCCUACGAUCAUACUACGUUGAAAGCACCGCAUCCCGUCAGAUCUGCGAAGUUAAGCAACGUUAGGCCGGGCUAGUACUAUGGUUGGUGACAACAUGGGAACACUCGGUGUCGUAGGCU